This 460-nucleotide ribosomal RNA is filed under the name uncultured bacterium. Its description in RNAcentral is "partial 16S ribosomal RNA". It matches the Rfam family "Bacterial small subunit ribosomal RNA", at positions 338 to 795 of the family's 1533-position model. The record is from RNAcentral.
CCUACGGGAGGCAGCAGUGAGGAAUAUUGGUCAAUGGGCGCGAGCCUGAACCAGCCAAGUCGCGUGAGGGAGGACGGCCCUACGGGUUGUAAACCUCUUUUGCCGGGGAGCAACGGGCGUCACGUGUGGCGCCACUGAGAGUACCCGGAGAAAAAGCAUCGGCUAACUCCGUGCCAGCAGCCGCGGUAAUACGGAGGAUGCGAGCGUUAUUCGGAUUUAUUGGGUUUAAGGGGUGCGUAGGCGGACUGGAAAGUCAGCGGUAAAAUCGAGAGGCUCAACCUCUUUCCGCCGUUGAAACUGGUUUUCUUGAGUGAGCGAGAAGUAUGCGGAAUGCGUGGUGUAGCGGUGAAAUGCAUAGAUAUCACGCAGAACUCCGAUUGCGAAGGCAGCAUACCGGCGCUCAACUGACGCUCAUGCACGAAAGUGUGGGUAUCGAACAGGAUUAGAUACCCGAGUAGUC